Molecule: long non-coding RNA, 882 nt
Organism: Hypomesus transpacificus
Lineage: Eukaryota; Metazoa; Chordata; Actinopteri; Osmeriformes; Osmeridae
Exons: 2
Source: RefSeq, a predicted model, not a curated record
UGAGAGCAGGUUAAAGAAAAAUAACAUAAAAAAUGCAAAUUACAAUGAUUUUACAUUCAUGAAUGUAUACAUUUUGAGAUAGAUAUGAACAAACUUUUACCAUUAACACUGAAAUAUUUAUUAACGAUGUAAUUUCUUCCACAAAUAAUGUAAAUUGGUGUAAACAAUUAUAACAAAAUUCUAUGAUGAUUAUGUACCAUCUUAACCCUUUUCACAUUCACAGUGCUAUUACGCUGGUGUUCUUUGCUCUCACAUCUGUCUAAAACUACUGCUUUGGGCCAUCUCAGGUGGAAGUGAGAUUCCGUAAAGUCUGCCAUUGAGUUGGUGGAGCAGGUUGUGGAUGUGUUUGUAGGAGGAGCGCCACAUGAGAGUGUAACCAGGGUGAAACAGCGUUUUUUAGUUGUGUUGAAAUGUCACCAAUGCUGAUUUAAAUGUACCAGUAUAUGUUUAGGUACAUUUGGUAACCUGUUCCUUUGUUGAUGUGUUUUUGUACCUGUACUGUAGCUUUAAGAGAAGUCCGUGUUUUGUGACGUGUGUGUGGCGCCAAAGCUCAGAAGGCUUUUUACUGUCUGAGCGGAGGAGGGAAUGUUGGUCCCGACUACGACCGUUUAUACUAUUGACACGUUGGUUUCUUUGGCUCAUACAGGUAUGAAUGUUUUAUGUUCUUUAUAUUAUCGAUGCUGGUUAUGUUUGUGUAUAUGCAGUGAAGUGCAUCUAGUAUGUUAUUCUAUUUAUUUUCAUAUUAUUUUAUACGUCGUCAGAAGGCUUUUUACUGUCUGAGCGGAGGAGGGAAUGUUGGUCCCGACUACGACCGUUUAUACUAUUGACACGUUGGUUUCUUUGGCUCAUACAGAAGCGAAUAAAUGAGAGAAAGCCAGCCUC